Molecule: long non-coding RNA, 24010 nt
Filed under: Hordeum vulgare
Lineage: Eukaryota; Viridiplantae; Streptophyta; Magnoliopsida; Poales; Poaceae
Description: long non-coding RNA (HVUL_LNC002723)
Source: RNAcentral
GCAGGACCUUGAGAGCGGCAACGCCGACGAUCUUGAUGGGCAUGCCGGUGACCACCAUGUCCUUUAUGGUGAUGUAGCCGGUGCUGAACCACACCACAACCUGGGCGGAGAGAGAGAACAAAGAUCAACUACUGGCCUCAACCCAUAAAUAAAAGAAAAACCAAAUAGAAUUCAAAAGUUUAAGUAUGUGUGCUACUGGAGUUGACUACUACAUAGUGCCAAAACAAACAACUAAUGAGACAACACUCCACACCACCAACUUACCAGUUAGGACCAAGUGGCACUACAAGCUCCAUACAUCCAUCAAUCGAUAUUCUCGCCCUCCACAAGAUCAAACUUCGCGAUAGCUGAGGGUCCAUGCAACUUCCUGGGCACACACACACACAUAGAGCAUGAUUACACAGGAAACUAGAUUUCACUGAAGAAUAGCAUUAGUAUAGUUUGCCUAACUUCAAAUCAAAUUGACCAAUCCUGAUUUCUGAACUAUAGAAUAUCAUGAACUUAACUGAAUUUAACACACACACACACACACAGAGCAUGAUUAACUGGUGUCAUCAACCCACAUAACAAAAUAGAGAAUUUAAAAAUUAAGUAUAAGUGCUACUGACGCAGACUUCUUCAAGUUUUGAUAUGAGCUAUCUAGCACAUGCAAUAUAUAGGAAGAACAAGCAGACCUUACAAGUUAAUAGUGUCGUCAAACACAUCGUCUAUGCCAUAAAGAUCAAGUAAUCGUUAUAGCUCAGAUAUUGAUAUUGAUAUCUACUACUGUUUAGGUACCAUAGUUUGUUUUCUCUUAUUAGGACUUCUACUCAUGUAUAAAAGGAUAGGUGAACAAUUGAGAUUGACUUCAGAAAAUAGAAAGAUCUCUUCUAUUUCUUGAGUCAAUACAUCAUAAGUGCAAGCACACAUGACUUCAGAAAAUAGCAGGACCUUGAGAGCGGCAACGCCGACGAUCUUGAUGGGCAUGCCGGUGACCACCAUGUCCUUUAUGGUCAUGUAGCCGGUGCUGAACCACACCACAACCUGGGCGGAGAGAGAGAACAAAGAUCAACUACCGGCCUCAACCCAUAAAUAAAAGAUAAACUAUAGUAAAAGCACAUGGAAGAAAUAUUCAAUUAUUUGCACAAGGAGAAAAUAUGCCCAUGCAUGUAAGCAGCAAAUGAUUCAGAAAAUACUUUUCCCGUCCGACAAAUUUCUUUGAUCCCAAAUUUGCUUAAGUUCCUUUGUGCCGCAACAAUUUUCCCAGGAUCUCCAGUUACCUACAACAUUGAUUAAAUAAGCAUCAAAGGGCUUCUUCCAGCAUAAAGCAAGGAACACAUAUACCAUUAGGAUGCAGAACUGUUGGAGAUCAAGAGUUUUUACCUCCAGAGUUAAGCUGUUCUCAGAAAUAUCAACAACUUUCGCUCUGAAAACAGUAGCUACAAAUUGCAGGUUGAGAAGAAACAACACAUUAAGAGUAUUGUUGCCACUGUGUAUGGAAGUACCAAUAUACUAAUUCAGUGAUUGCAGAUACAAGUCAACAGCAUAUCUUACAUCAGCACGUUGAUCUGGUUCAACAUUGAGUUUUAUAAGCAUGAGCUCUCUUUCAACCCGAGGCUCCUUAGAUAGAUCUUCAACCUGCAAUUUAUUGGAUUCAAAUACGAUAUAUAUUAACAAACAUUUAUAUGAUCACAGAACAACGUGCAAUAAGAAAAGAAAUCUGCAAGCGAGGAACAUAGCAAUGCUUCGGAUAAAAAGGAAAACAUCACAUCGCACUAUUCAAUUCAUCUAGAUGGUAGGAACGAUAAGCAGAUGACAAACAAUUAUACAAGUUGGUAUGAAGUCAGCUUAGAUUCGUUAGAUAGCUAUUUUCUUUGGAUAUCCUGUAUGUGCAUAAUAGCUAAAGACCAACCCCGGUAUUAAACACAGCAACAGGAAAUAUAAGACAAUUUUGUACAGAUAUUAUGAUACACCAACAAUAUACCUGGCUGUAUAUCCACUGCAAAAACCUGAAAGGAGAAGGACAACAUAUGUUAGUCCACCACAUCCAGCUAAGGCAGUGAUAGGGGUGGGAUUGGAGGAAUGAGGGGGGAGAAGGGGACCUAGAGGGAGUUGACGGCGCCGAGGUGCGGGGUGGCGAUCUCCUUGCGGUUGGAGAGCGCGAGCGAGGCGGCGCGGCGCGAGCGGGCUAGGGCCUGGAAGCGCCGCGCGGGCAGCACCCCGCGUUCCCUUCUCCUCACCUCCUCCCACCACAUCCACUCGGGGCGCACCGCGGUGUAUGCGCUCUGCUCGCCAACACGCCAAGACCAAGCAGACCCUCGCCGAUCCGGGACACGACCUUGCUGAGCUCGACGUCGGAGAUGCGGCCGUCGUCGUUGAUGUCGUAGACAUCAAAGGCAUCACGCAGCUCGGCGUCCAGCUCGCGCUCCCCGCGGCCGUGGCCGUGGAAGGCGGCGAACUCGCCGAGGUCCACGUAGCCGUCGCGGUCGGUGUCGAGCUCGUCCAUCAUGGACGCCACCUCCCGGCCCCCUGCCGACUCGGUGGCCGGCGGCGCGGUGGCGCGCGACACGGCCGCCAGCUCUGAGGGCGAGAUCCUGCCGUCCCCGUCCGUUUCGAAGCCAUCUUCUUCGCCUUCGCCGCCACCGCCGCCUCUCCCUCCGCGGCUGCGGCGCUGGUGCUCAGAAAAUCGGGGCUGUGGGCGGCGCGAGCCCCAGGGACCGCCGGAGAAGCUAGCCCGCGGCCCUCUGCGCCAUGAGCUUCGGUGUACAGGGUGGCGUCGAGAGAGGAGCGCGGACGGUAGGGGAGCGGCGGCGGCCGGCGGGGCUGGCUUGGGUUUCGCGCGGAGCUUCGCAGUGCACUGAGAGGAUAGGAUAAGGAUCGAGUGGGGAGAGGGCAGUGCACUGAGAGGAUAAGGAUCGGGUGGGGAGAGAGGGGAGUGGGUGAGAUUGUGUUUUUUUCAUAACGGGAGUGGGUGAGGUCUUUUUUUAUAACGGAAGUAUGUUUUUCUUUUUCUUUUUUGUACCUUUUCUGUGUCUACCAUGUUUAUUUGUACAAUACUUAGUCAUAUCAUAAGUCCUAUGAAGUUUGCAUUAGAGAAAAGAAACAUUAUGGAAUAUUUGAUUAUAUUUUGACUACUCCCUUCAUUCCUAAUUGUAAAUCUUUUUAAAUUUUCGAAUAUAAAUCACAUAUGGAUCAAAAUUAGUACAUCUACACUCUAAAAAUGUCUAUAUGCAUACGUAUGUAGUGCAUAGAAUUUUUCAAAAAGACAUAUAUUUAGGUACGAAGGAAGUAUACAGACAAUAAAUAUCCCAUAUGUUCUUUACAGAGAAAUUCACCAUGUUGAUUGCUUUGGAUGUAUGAUUUUUGCUAAUUAUGAGCAGGGAAUUUUCUGUGUACGGUUAUUCGUGCGUUGCACGUGCAUGCUUACUAGUCUGAAAAGUAAUGGAUACAUUCGAAGAUCCAAGAAAAUAUGAAAAACUAAAAAUAUUACUUUUCUUAUAUUUUAAGAGAAAAAACUGGCUGAAAGACGGAGGGAAGAAAAUCGGUCUGGUAGGAUCCAUCGUCCAAUGGGCCGUCCAGCAGAGACGAGGAGGUUGUGUUUGCUCGCGAUGCUAACUGGGCCCGUGACCAGCAGAGACGCAGAACACGCGUCGGACGGUGACAAGGAAUAUAAGGCAACCCACCCGACCCGGCCUUCUUUCCCCGUCAAAGAACCCUAGCGAGGGUCGAGAAGGCGCGAGCAAAAUUGCGGAGGGGGUCGACGAUCCGUGCUCCGACAUGCCGCAGGUAUCAACGGCGCGCUUGUGUAGGCGGAGGAGACGUUCCUCGCAACCGGCGAUUGCUGGAUUCGAUCACGACAUCGAGUUGAAAUCGAUUUACUGCGAACCAACCACCGAAGAGGAAGAGGAGGAGGAAGAAGAAGAGGAGGUGGAAGAAGAGGAGGAGGAUGAGGAGGAAGAAGAAGAAGAAGACGAAGACGAGGAGGAGUUUGCUCCUGAAUCCUCCAUGGAGGAGCAGGAGGAAGACUUCGAUCAGCACCGGGAAAACUGGGAGAUCUCAUUCGGCAAAGGCCGGUUUGACUUCGAAGCUCUGAGUGAGUAAUAACGGAUUAAUUCCUGCUUGCCUUUCUUCUUGUCGUCCGGCCGGUCGACUCAACUGAUUUACAAUAUGCAGCGAUGCUGAGCCCGAUGCUCUUCACACACUGCUCGCCGAGCCGCAUCCCAGAAGAAGCCAUCCUUUCCAAGACACUUCAGAUAUACUCCAUCAAAAUCGCCAAGACAAAACACCUCAAGUGGCCACUUCAAGUGUACGGCGUCGUUGCCGCUCGAGACUAUGUGGAUCACAGACGCAAUAUUGUCUUCUUUCGUCGAAGGAUUCACAGCCAAACCCUCACCAAGAAAGUACGUACGGACCUUCUAUUCAUUCAUCAUCAUAUAUAUAUAUAUAUAUAUAUAUAUAAUAUAUAUAUAUAUAUAUAUAUAUAUUCGUUAGUUCGUUUCUUGUUCCGGNNNNNNNNNNNNNNNNNNNNNNNNNNNNNNNNNNNNNNNNNNNNNNNNNNNNNNNNNNNNNNNNNNNNNNNNNNNNNNNNNNNNNNNNNNNNNNNNNNNNAGGAUCCAAUAUGGGCAUCCAGGUCCCGCUAUUGGAUAUUGACCGAGGAGUCUCUCGUGUCAUGUCUACAUAGUUCUCGAACCCGCAGGGUCUGCACACUUAAGGUUCGACGUUGUUUUAUGCGUAUUUGAGUUAUAUGGUUGGUUACCGAAUGUUAUUCGGAGUCCCGGAUGAGAUCACGUACGUCACGAGGGUUUCCGGAAUAGUCCGGAAACGAAGAUUGAUAUAUAGGAUGACCUCAUUUGAUUACCGGAAGGCCGAGAUCAUCGUCGAGCUGUACGUGUGCUGAACGCGGAGGUGCCGUCCGUUCGGUACUAGAUCGUGGGACUGAUCGCGGGAUUGUUCGCGGGGCGGAUCGAGGGACGAGAGGACGUUCCACUACAUCAACCGCGUUCGCUAACGCUUCUGCUGUACGGUCUACGAGGGUACGUAGAUCACUCAUCCCCUCUCGUAGAUGGACAUCACCAUGAUAGGUCUUCGUGCGCGUAGGAAAUUUUUUGUUUCCCAUGCGACGUUCCCCAACAGUGGCAUCAUGAGCUAGGUUCAUGCGUAGAUGUCUUCUCGAGUAGAACACAAAAGUUUUUGUGGGCGGUGAUGUGCGUUUUGCUGCCCUCCUUAGUCUUUUCUUGAUUCCGCGAUAUUGUUGGAUUGAAGCGGCUUGGACCGACAUUACUCGUACGCUUACGAGAGAUUGGUUUCAUUGUUCCAAGUAACCCCCUUUGCUCAAAGAUGACUGGCAAGUGUCGGUUUCUCCAACUUUAGUUGAAUCGGAUUUGACCGAGGAGGUCCUUGGAUGAGGUUAAAUAGCAACUCAUAUAUCUCCGUUGUGGUGUUUGCGUAAGUAAGAUGCGAUCCUACUAGAUACCCAUGGUCACCACGUAAAACAUGCAACAACAAAAUUAGAGGACGUCUAACUUGUUUUUGCAGGGUAUGAUUGUGAUGUGAUAUGGCCAACGAUGUGAUGUGAUAUAUUGGAUGUAUGAGAUGAUCAUGUUGUAAUAGAAAUAUCGACUUGCACGUCGAUGGUACGGCAACCGGCAGGAGCCAUAGGGUUGUCUUUAUACUAACGUUUGUGCUUGCAGAUGCAUUUACUAUUUUGCUAGGAUGUAGCUUUAGUAGUAAUAGCAUGAGUAGCACGACAACCCCGAUGGCAACACGUUGAUGGAUGAUCAUGGUGUGGCGCCGGUGACAAGAAGAUCGUGUCGGUGCUUUGGUGAUGGAGAUCAAGAAGCACGUGAUGAUGGCCAUAUCAUGUCACUUAUGAAUUGCAUGUGAUGUUAAUCCUUUUANNNNNNNNNNNNNNNNNNNNNNNNNNNNNNNNNNNNNNNNNNNNNNNNNNNNNNNNNNNNNNNNNNNNNNNNNNNNNNNNNNNNNNNNNNNNNNNNNNNNGUGGCGUCCAACCGGGACUAAARRGGGUCUUUAGUCCCGGGUCGGAGCCAUGACCCGGGACUAAAGGCCCUUUUUCGGCGGACAAGAAGGCGGGAAGCAGGGGCCUUUAGUCCCAGUGCGUGGCAAGAACCGGGACUAAAGUUUUGCCUAUAUAAACCCCCGCCCCUGCCCGCCAUAUCCCCUGUUUUUUGGUUGUUGAAGUGUGACCAUGCCAUGCUCUUGCCACUCUAGUUCAUGCACAUGACGUGUUCGAUGAAAUGCCCGAGCCACUCUACUUAAGCUUUCUCCUCUCCAAACUCGACCUCCAAGCUUCAUUUUCCUUAAUAUUUGUCUAGGUUUGGCCGUGCACACCAACUGCGAGCACCACCGUGGUGAGCCUCUUGUUCUUAUCUUCUUUUUAAAAUCAAAAAAAUCUUACUUGUAUGAUUUAGAUACAUACUUGUAUAAAUUACUCACUUUCAUUAUUUUUUGUUAUUAUAUAGUGCGAUGGUUUUGGUAUCCGCCUCCGUCGGCCCUCGUCCUGUCUAUGAUUCGGAUGUGGUAUAUAUUAUCUUUUAUAACUAUUUGUUUUAUUUAGUGUUUAUGACAACUAUGACGACCAAUGUGACAUAUAUGUUUUUAAUCUAGGAGGUAUGUGAACCGGAAAUUCCAACCCACAUAAAAAUUCUUGUCGAGAAGUUAAAUUUGGUUGAAAAAGAAAACAAAUAUUUGAAGAAAAAAAUGAAAAUAAUUGAGGAUAAGAAUAUGGAACUGGAGUUGCAUGUCGCCGAUGUCAUCGAUGAUCGCAAGAUGAAGAUCGAUGCGAUGCGGUUGAAGAUGGAUGCAAUGCGCUUGAAGAUGGAUGAAAUGCGCUUGAAGAUUAGGAAUAUUAGAAAAUAUGCCAUUGAUAAAGAGGCUUGGUAUCAUUAUGCUGUUGGGUCAAUUGUUACCUUAGUUGCGAUUUUGAUCGCGUUUGUUGUUGCAUUUAAAUGUUUUACAUAGUUGUAUGUUGUUUUAUGAGAGAACUUUAUGUAUUUAUUUUUUGCAAUAAUAACAUUUGAUCACUACUAUUCUUCGGUUUUAAUGUGAUGAUGAACUUGUAUUAAUUUGGUCAUAUGUUCUGCAAUGAUUUUUUGAACUUAUUUGAACUCCAUACUUUUUGUGUGUUCAAAAUGCACCAUUCAAAGGCACACCACAGAAUUUCAACAAUUUCUGACUUCAUUUGGUAUAUUUCGUGCAUUUACUUAUUUUUUUUGAGCUAGUUGACCCUGAAAUUGAAAAGCACUACAAAUGAACUCUGAAAAUGUUGAAAGUUGGCAUGCUAUCAUCAUUUCACCCACAUAGCAUGUGUUAAAAAGUUGAGAGGGCUACGACAAAAACUGGAUGCACUUCGUAUACAAAACGGACAAUCUCUCUCGAAGUAUCAGGGUUUCGAACGAGAACUCAUCUCUUACAAAGGGAUUUCAUUUUUUUGAACUUAUUUGAACUUCAUACUUUUUGUGUGUUCAAAAUGCACCAUUCAAAGGCACAACACAAAAUUUCAACAAUUUCUGACUUCAUUUGAUAUAUUUCGUGGAUUUACUUAUUUUUUUUGAGCUAGUUGACCCUGAAAUUGAAAAGCACUACAAAUGAACUCUGAAAAUGUUGAAAGUUGGCAUGCUAUCAUCAUUUACCACCANAGUCAUAGUUGGUUUAAAAAAGGUUUAAGUGAGGCGUACGACGAAAACUAAAGUAGUAGCACUUACGUUCGUACNNNNNNNNNNNNNNNNNNNNNNNNNNNNNNNNNNNNNNNNNNNNNNNNNNNNNNNNNNNNNNNNNNNNNNNNNNNNNNNNNNNNNNNNNNNNNNNNNNNNCCGGUACGGACGUAGUCCCAAGUUUUCGUCGUUUUAACCGUCCUACCUACACUACUUUCGCACAUGCUAUGUGGGUGAAAUGAUGAUACCAUGCCAACUUGGAACCUUUUCAGAGUUUUAUUUCUAAAUGCUUUUCAAUUUCAUGGUCUUAUAGCUCAAAAUAAUAAGUAAAUGCAUGAAAAAUAACAAAUGAAGUCCGAAAGGGUUGUAAAUUGAUGAUGUGGCUUUGAAUGGUGCAUUUUGUACAUAAAAAACUAUGGAGUUCAAAUAAUUUCAAAAAAAUGAAAUCUAUUUGUAACAGACGAGUUUCUGUAUGAAACCCUGACACUUCCAAAGAGAUUGUCUGUUUUGUACACGAAGUGCAUCCAGUUUUUGUCGUAACCCUCUCAACUUUCUUGCAUAUGCUAUGUGGAUGAAAUGAUGAUACCAUGCCAACUUGGAACCUUUUAAGAGUUUAUUUUAAAUUAUUUUCAAUUUCAUGGACUUAUAGCUCAAAAUAAUCAGUAAAUGAAUGAAAAAUAACAAAUGAAGUCAGAAAGGGUUGUAAAUUGAUGAUGUGGCUUUGAAUGGUGCAUUUUGAACACAGAAAAACUAUGGAGUUUAAAUAAAUUCAAAAAAAUGAAAUUCAUUUGUAAGAGACGAGUUCUUGUAUGAAACCCUAAUACUUCGAAAGAGAUUGUCCGUUUUGUACACGAAGUGCAUCCAGUUUUUGCCGUAACCCUCUCAACUUUUUCGCGCAUGCUAUGUGGGUGAAAUGAUGAUACCAUGCCAACUUGGAACCUUUUCAGAGUUUAUUUCAAAUGCUUUUCAAUUUCAUGGUCUUAUAGCACAAAAUAAUCAGUAAAUGCAUGAAAAAGAACAAAUAUGGUUAGAAAGGGUUGUAAAAUGAUGAUGUGGCUUUGAAUGGUGCAUUUUGAACACAAAAAACUAUGGAGUUCAAAUAAGUUCAAAAAAUGAAAUCCCUUUGUAACACACGAGUUUCCGUAUGAAGUCGUGAUACUUCCAAAGAGAUUGUUUGUUUUAUACACGAAGUGCAUCCAGUUUUUGCCGUAAUCCUCUCAACUUUCUUGCAUAUGCUAUGUGGAUGAAAUGAUUAUACCAUGCAAAAAUAAAAGAGAGGCGCAAUGCUCACAUGCACGUUGCUUAGCUUCAGGCCAACGUGCAGGUGAGCACUGCGCUUCUCCCUUCAUCGUCUCUACAGUCAGGGCUUAUAAACCGCUGCGAGUGCCUCUCGCUUGGCGAGGUGGGACUAAAAAAUAGCUGCAGAAAGAAUCAACUAAAAAACUCUUUUAUCGAUUCAUGCCACGAACCGGUACUAAAAGGUGCUCGUGGGGCCCAGCCUUAAAACCUGUGCCAAAUAAAAUGCCUUUGUAACACCCUUAGAACUGGUACUAAAGGAAUCAACUAAAAAGCUUUUAUAAACCUCUAGUAUUAUUGAAACUAAAAUUAUAUAGAAUUUUGUUACAAACUUUAAUAGCAAAAAGAAUUAUCAUAAAAGAAAAUAAAUAUGUAAUUAGAAUUUUGUUCAAAACAUUAAAAGCAAAAAAGAAUUAUCAUAAAAAAAAGUAAUUAGAAUUUCGUUACAAACUUUAAUAGCGAAAAGAAUUAUCGUAAAAAUAAAUAAAUAAAUAAUUAGAAACAAAAAAGAAAGCAAAAAAACUGGGAAAAUUAAAAUAAAAGAAUCAACUAAAAAGCUUUUAUAAACCUCUAGUAUUAUUGAAACUAAAAUUAUAUAGAAUUUUGUUACAAACUUUCAUAGCAAAAAGAAUUAUCAUAAACGAAAAUAAAUAAGUAAUUAGAAUUUUGUUCAAAACAUUAAAAGCAAAAAGAAUUAUCAUAAAAUAAAAUAAAUAAGUAAUUAGAAUUUUGUUACAAACUUUAAUAGCAAAAAGAAUUAUCGUAAAAGAAAAUAAAUAAGUAACUAGAAACAAAAAAGAAAGCCAAAAACUGGAUUUUUUUUAAAGAAAGUGUCACCUAGAGGGCCACCACGACGUGCAUAUGACUAGAAACCCAUUACUAGGGCCAGGAUGCAGGCCCGCAAUAGGCCCAAUAGGCCCACAAGCACAGAGAGUGAUCUUAGGCCCGUAAGCCUGCAGUAGAGAGGAGCUCGAAGUGGUUGGUUCGGCAGGGCUUAUAAACCACUCCGAGCCCCUCUCGGCUAGCGAGGUGGGACUAAACAUAGCACCGCACCGCGCAAGGCCUUUGGUCCCGGUUGGUGGCACCAACCGGGACUAAAGGGAUGCAUUGGUACCAGUUGGUGUCACCAACCGUGACCAAAGGCGUGUGCUUCUCGUCCUUUGGGCUGCUGAAAAGAAACCUUUGGUCCCGGUUUGUGCCACCAACCGAUACCAAUGACUCUUCUUCCCGCCCGUCGAGCUGCUGAAAAGAGACCUUUGGUCCNNNNNNNNNNNNNNNNNNNNNNNNNNNNNNNNNNNNNNNNNNNNNNNNNNNNNNNNNNNNNNNNNNNNNNNNNNNNNNNNNNNNNNNNNNNNNNNNNNNNACGGCUACGUGGNGUACCCCGCCGCCAGCAAGAAGCUAAAGUGCUGAACCGGCUGCAUCAGGUUUUCUUGAUCUUUUUKUUUGUCGUAGUUAUCUGACUUGGUACAUGCGUGAGAAGCUUACAGUAGCAAGAGUAUGGCGCAGAGAGUUAGACGAAUGUGUGAAGGGAAGGUGGAACAUCUUUUCGUUGAUAGCGAUGCGACCAAAAAUGGAAACUGGUUGAGUCUUGGUUGUAUCCUUUUCCUUUUAUUUUCUUGUAAAGCUUCUUCGAAGUCGAGAGACUUGUGAAAUGUUGACAUCAUGGUAUCCAAUUGGAACUGGCGUUCAUGUCAUGAUACCGAACGGGAGAAGAAUUUGCAGAACAGCCUCAGUGUGCAUACAUUAGCUGAUCAUUGGCCAUUAACUAGUCACUGCUGCCCCUGUAGUGUUUGGGGGAAUUCUUGUGGUUUAUCUCCUAUAGGUUCCAACAUGUCUCAUGGCACUGUAUUACUGUGUUUUUAAUUCCUUGAUGGCUUUUAAACAAGCCUGUUGUGGUUUUGCAAACUUCGGUGUCUUAGGCCCUGUUCGGCAACACUCCACGGAGCGGAACGCGCUUGUAGGGCCAGCCCAAGCCUUCGCGUAUUUGAAAAAAAGUAGUAUGAAAUUUAAAAAAUGUUAACAUAUUUAAUUUUUUGGAAGGAUUUACAAUAAAAUUUCACUAAAAAUGUUGCAAUCAAUUUCCUACAAAGUGAAAAAGAUUCAUAAAUUUGAGAAACAAUCACUAACUUAUUAUUUUUAAUUUUAAAAAGUUCACACAUUUGAAAAAACAGAAAAAAAAUGAAAAUGAGGAACGUAAAAUAAUGAAACAGCUUAAAAAAAAUUAAACCCGAUUUGCAAAAACACGACAAAAAAAAAAAACUGGUCUGAACAUUCACGAAUUUAUAAAUGCGUACAUAAGAAGCAUAAAAGGAAGCAAGUGGACACACUAAGUAACUUGUCCCGGUUGGUUACUUGAACUUGAAGUAAACCUUAAGAGUUGAGUUUGAAUCUCCCGCGUCACACAUUUUUUGAAGAUUACAAAGAAGAAAAAAAUGACAAAGUCACCAAAUAGGAUUUGGGUAUGAAACGUACAUCACGUAGUGCAUAGGCGGUACGUACACAGGCCAUGUAUCAGCAUGGGCGACAUAUUCUUUAAAAAGUCUAUUUCUUUAUUAUGAAGGGGCAUGAAGAAAUAUUUUGUGUUCAUGUGUUUAGGAGUAUUAUACUGAGUAUAUUUGUUUUACAUGUUUGUUGUCUUGAAUUCGUUGCCAAGGUGACCGGGGUUCUCUCCCUUGUCCAAUCGAACGAGUGUGACUUCUCUCAUGUACAGAAGACUUCAAGUUUAUCAGCCUAAAUUAUUUUGUGCACUUGAAUAAGAACGUUCACGUAGAACUUCUCCGGCACGACGUACGCUCGCUAACUCAACCACGCGAACGUAACAUCGUCGCUAUGAUCAUGAGCGGCUUCGCGUUUGUAGUGUAACCAAUGAGCGCAUAACAUCCACUAUUUGAAUCAUGCUCUUUAUCUGAGUCUCCACAUUUUUGCCGAGUGUAUUUUUGUCGCUGCAGCCAAACUCUAUGACUCGUUAUGGUUGUCGACAGUUUGGUUGUGCCUCGAUCCAUAAGGAGACGCCGCGCUCUAUGGCGUCAAGUUGGACAAUAAAACGACAAGUUAUUAAGUACUUCUGUUUCAUUUGGUACGGGUAGCGCAUUGGCAUGUCAACUUAAACUUAUAAAAGCAUCUUUAGUAGAACCAUCAAACUCUCAAACCUUAAAAAUAAUAGUAUUUUUUACAGUUUUCGUCGAAAAAACGACGUAGACUAAAACCCUUAAACCUUUAAACCUGUAAAAAAAAUUAAAGGUCCAACCCUCAAACGCCUUUCCAGCCUGUAGAAGUGAGGGUUGGGAGGAAAAACCCUCCCCCCCCCCCMAMCGCACUCCAUUUCCACAUUCGUGCUGGAAGGUAAGUUGCCUUCCCCGCGCUCGUCUCUUCCCCCGAANNNNNNNNNNNNNNNNNNNNNNNNNNNNNNNNNNNNNNNNNNNNNNNNNNNNNNNNNNNNNNNNNNNNNNNNNNNNNNNNNNNNNNNNNNNNNNNNNNNNUUUACAACCCUUUCGGACUUYRUUWGUUWUUUYUMWUGCAUUUACUUAUUAUUUUGUAGCUAUAAAGACCAUGAAAUUGAAAAGACAUUUGUAAAUAAACUACUGAAAAGGUUCCAAGUUGGCAUGGUAUCAUCAUUUCACCCACAUAGCAUGCGCGAAAAAGUUGAGAGGGUUACGGCAAAAACUGGAUGCACUUCGUGUACAAAACGGACAAUCUCUUUCGAAGUAUUAGGGUUUCAUACAAGAACUCGUCUCUUACAAAUGAAUUUCAUUUUUUUGAAUUUAUUUAAACUCCAUAGUUUUUCUGUGUUCAAAAUGCACCAUUCAAAGCCACAUCAUCAAUUUACAACCCUUUCUGACUUCAUUUGUUAUUUUUCAUUCAUUUACUGAUUAUUUUGAGCUAUAAGUCCAUGAAAUUGAAAAUCAUUUAAAAUGAACUCUGAAAAGGUUCCAAGUUGGCAUGGUAUCAUCAUUUCACCCACAUAGCAUGUGCGAGAAUGUUGAGAGGGUUACGACAAAAACUGGAUGCACUUCAUGUACAAAACGGACAAUCUCUUUCGAAGUAUCAGGGUUUCAUACGGAAACUCGUCUCUUACAAAGGGAUUUCAUUUUUUUGAACUUAUUUGAACUCCAUAGUUUUUCUGUGUUCAAAAUGCCUACCAUUCAAMGCCACAUCAUCAAUUUACAACCCUUUCUGACUUCAUUUGUUAUUUUUCUAUGCAUUUACUGAUUAUUUUGAGCUAUAAGUACAUGAAAUUGAAAAGCAUUUGAAAUGAACUCUGAAAAGGUUCCAAGUUGGCAUGGUAUCAUCAUUUCACCCACAUAGCAUGUGCGAGAAAGUUGAGAUGGUUACGACAAAAACUGGAUGCACUUCGUGUACAAAACGGACAAUCUCUUUCGAAGUAUGAGGGUUCCAUAGGGAAACUCGUCUGUUACAAAGGGAUUUCAUUUUUUUGAACUUAUUUGAACUCCAUAUUUUUUCUGUGUUCAAAAUGCACAAUUCAAAGCCACAUCAUCAAUUUACAACCCUUUCUGACUUCAUUUGUUUAUUUUUCAUGCAUUUAGUGAUUAUUUUAAGCUAUAAGACCAUGAAAUUGAAAAGCAUUUGAAAUAAACUCUGAAAAGGUUCCAAGUUGGCAUGGUAUCAUCAUUUCACCCAUAUAGCAUGUGCGAGAAAGUUGAGAGGAUUACGCCAAAAACUGGAUGCACUUCGUGUACAAAACGGAAAAUCUCUUUCGAAGUAUGAGGGUUUCAUACGGAAACUCGUUUGUUACAAAGGGAUUUCAUUUUUUAACUUAUUUGAACUCCAUAGUUUUUCUGUGUUCAAAAUGCACCAUUCAAAGCCACAUCAUCAAUUUACAACCCUUUCUGACUUUAUUUGUUAUUUUUCAUGCAUUUACUGAUUAUUUUGAGCUAUAAGACCAUGAAAUUGAAAAACAUUUGAAAUGAACUCUGAAAAGGUUCCACGUUGGCAUGAUAUCAUCAUUUCACCCACAUUGCAUGUGCGAGAAAGUUGAGAGGGUUACGGCAAAAACUGGAUGCACUUCGUGUACAAAACGGACAAUAUCUUUCAAAGUAUCAUUGUUUCAUAUGGAAACUCGUCUCUUACAAAGGGAUUUCAUUUUUUGAACUUAUUUGAACUCCAUAGUUUUCCUGUGUUCAAAAUGCACCAUUCAGAGCCACAUCAACAAUUUACAACCCUUUCUGACAUCAUUUGUUAUUUUUUCAUGCAUUUAUUGAUUAUUUUGAGCUAUAAGACCAUAAAAUUGAAAAGCAUUUGAAAUGAACAUUGAAAAGGUUCCAAGUUGGCAUGGUAUCAUCAUUUCACCCACAUAGCACGUGCGAGAAAGUUGACAGGGUUACGGCAAAAACUGGAUGCACUUCAUGUACAAAACGGACAAUCUCUUUCGAAAUAUCAGGGUUUCAUACGGAAACUCGUCUGUUACAAAGGGAUUUCAUUUUUUUGAACUUAUUUGAACUUCAUAGUUUUUCUGUGUUCAAAAUGCACCAUUCAAAGCCACAUCAACAAUUGACAACCCUUUCUGACAUCAUUUGUUAUUUUUCAUGCAUUUACUGAUUUAUUUUGAGCUAUAAGACCAUAAAAUUGAAAAGAAUUUGAAAUGAACUCUGAAAAGGUUCCAAGUUGGCAGUGGUGACAAUUUUAACACAACACAUGAUAUCCAUUACAUCUAGGGCACAACAUUACAUUUGUUCAAGUUCACAACAGUGCACAAAUGAUAAGNNNNNNNNNNNNNNNNNNNNNNNNNNNNNNNNNNNNNNNNNNNNNNNNNNNNNNNNNNNNNNNNNNNNNNNNNNNNNNNNNNNNNNNNNNNNNNNNNNNNUUUUCAAUUUCAUGGUCUUAUAGCUACAAAAUAAUCAAGUAAAUGCAUAAGAAAAAUAACAAAUAAAGUCAGAAAGGUUGUAAAUUGAUGAGUGUGGCUUUGAAUGGUGCAUUUUGAACACAGAAAAACUAUGGAGUUCAAAUAAGUUAAAAAAUGAAAUCCCUUUGUAACAAACGAGUUUCCGUAUGAAACCCUCAUACUUCGAAAGAGAUUUUUCCGUUUUGUACACGAAGUGCAUCCAGUUUUUGGCGUAAUCCUCUCAACUUUCUCGCACAUGCUAUAUGGGUGAAAUGAUGAUACCAUGCCAACUUGGAACCUUUUUCAGAGUUUAUCUUAAUAAGUCGUUUUCCUUUAACUUUAACUUAUAGGUUCGUUUAACUUUAAGUACGUUAAACUAAACUAAACUAAACUUAACUAGGUAAACUAGUACGAAAAAUUAAACGAAAAAAAUUAACGAAAAGUUCGAAAGGUAAACGGGUUAAGGUAAAAAGGUUUAGGUAAAUUUAGAAGUUGUAGGUUNNNNNNNNNNNNNNNNNNNNNNNNNNNNNNNNNNNNNNNNNNNNNNNNNNNNNNNNNNNNNNNNNNNNNNNNNNNNNNNNNNNNNNNNNNNNNNNNNNNNUACAUAAGGUCUCGAUAGGUAAGAUUAGUCAAUGACGUACCCUUUGGAGGGGCGACGAGGUUUGCGCUUUGGGGUGCUCUGUGGCUUAGGAAUCGUCGGUGGAGCGUUCUUGGUGGCACGCUCCCGCUUAGUAUCCGGAGCGGGCGGCGGCAGAGACGGAUGACCCCAAGUCCGGCGACGGUGAUCAAGAUGGACUCGUGUUUGUGCCUGGCAAUGUGCGUGCAUAGUCAUCAGGCUUAUGGUGUAAGUCAUACUGUGAUGGAAGAGGGUACGAUCAUAAGGUCCGAUAGGAAGAUUAGCAUGACGUACCUUUGGGAGGGGCGACCGUUUGCACUUUGGGGUGCUCUGUGGCUUAGGAAUCGUCGGCGAAGCAUUCUUGGUGGCACGCUCCCGCUUUGUAUCCGUGGCAGGCUCAGGCUUUGUAUCCGAGAGCGGGCGGCGGCGGAGCGUUCGUGGUGGCGACCGUCCGUUCCCGGUCUUUUAGUACGUUCCCGGGUACGGGUCCGANNNNNNNNNNNNNNNNNNNNNNNNNNNNNNNNNNNNNNNNNNNNNNNNNNNNNNNNNNNNNNNNNNNNNNNNNNNNNNNNNNNNNNNNNNNNNNNNNNNNUUAUUUUUUUAGUUAAACUUUAUUUGUAACUCUAUUACUUUUGUGUGUUACAAAAUGCACCAUUCAAAGGCACAACACAAAAUUUCAACAAUUUCUGACUUCAUUUGAUAUAUUUCGUGGAUUUACUUAUUUUUUUUGAGCUAGUUGACCCUGAAAUUGAAAAGCACUACAAAUGAACUCUGAAAAUGUUGAAAGUUGGCAUGCUAUCAUCAUUUCACCCACAUAGCAUGUGUUAAAAAGUUGAGAGGGCUACGACAAAAACUGGAUGCACUUCAUGGACAAAACGGACAAUCUCUCUCGAAGUAUCAGGGUUUCGAACGAGAACUCAUCUCUUACAAAGGGAUUUCUAUUUUUUUGAACUUAUUUGAACUCCAUACUUUUUGUGUGUUCAAAAUGCACCAUUCAAAGGCACACCACAAAGUUUCAACAAUUUCUGACUUCAUUUGAUAUAUUUCGUGGAUUUACUUUUUUUUUUUAGUUAGCUAGUUGUACCCUCGAAAUUAGUAAAAACCAAACUACNNNNNNNNNNNNNNNNNNNNNNNNNNNNNNNNNNNNNNNNNNNNNNNNNNNNNNNNNNNNNNNNNNNNNNNNNNNNNNNNNNNNNNNNNNNNNNNNNNNNCCCUAAAACCUCCGUAUAUAUAGGUGGAGGGAGGGGGCCGUUGCCUUGGGGUCCAAGGACCCUCAAGGGGGUCGGCCGAGCCAACGGGGAGGACUCUCCCCCCCCCCCAAACCCGAGUUGGACUAGGUUUGGUGGGAGGGAGUCCUCCUGCCUUCCCACCUCCUCCCUUUUUUUUUCUUUCCUCUUGAUUUUUCUUCUCUUGGCGCAUAGACCACUUGUGGGCUGUCCCACCAGCCCACUAAGGGCUGGUGUGUCUCCCCCAAGGCCUAUGGGCUUCCCCGGGGUGGGUUGCCCCCCCCGGUGAACUCCGGGAACCCAUUCGUCAUUCCCGGUACAUUCCCGGUAACUCCGAAAACCUUCCGGUAACCAAAUGAGGUCAUCCUAUAUAUCAAUCUUCGUUUCCGGACCAUUCCGGAAACCCUCGUGACGUCCUGAUCUCAUCCGGGACUCCGAACAACAUUCGGUAACCAACCAUAUAACUCAAAUACGCAUAAAACAAUGUCGAACCUUAAGUGUGCAGACCCUGCGGGUUCGAGAACUAUGUAGACAUGACCCGAGAGACUCCUCGGUCAAUAUCCAAUAGCGGGACCUGGAUGCCCAUAUUGGAUCCUACAUAUUCUACGAAGAUCUUAUCGUUUGAACCUCAGUGCCAAGGAUUCGUAUAAUCCCGUAUGUCAUUCCCUUUGUCCUUCGGUAUGUUACUUGCCCGAGAUUCGAUCGUCAGUAUCCGCAUACCUAUUUCAAUCUCGUUUACCGGCAAGUCUCUUUACUCGUUCCGUAAUACAAGAUCCCGCAACUUACACUAAGUUACAUUGCUUGCAAGGCUUGUGUGUGAUGUUGUAUUACCGAGUGGGCCCCGAGUUACCUCUCCGUCACACGGAGUGACAAAUCCCAGUCUUGAUCCAUACUAACUCAACCAACACCUUCGGAGAUACCUGUAGAGCAUCUUUAUAGUCACCCAGUUACGUUGUGACGUUUGAUACACACAAAGCAUUCCUCCGGUGUCAGUGAGUUAUAUGAUCUCAUGGUCAUAGGAAUAAAUACUUGACACGCAGAAAACAGUAGCAAAAAAAUGACACGAUCAACAUGCUACGUCUAUUAGUUUGGGUCUAGUCCAUCACGUGAUUCUCCUAAUGACGUGAUCCCGUUAUCAAGUAACAACACUUGCCUAUGGCCAGGAAACCUUGACCAUCUUUGAUCAACGAGCUAGUCAACUAGAGGCUUACCAGGGACAGUGUUUUGUCUAUGUAUCCACACAAGUAUUGUGUUUCCAAUCAAUACAAUUAUAGCAUGGAUAAUAAACGAUUAUCAUGAACUAAGAAAUAUAAUAAUAACUAAUUUAUUAUUGCCUCUAGGGCAUAUUUCCAACAGUCUCCCACUUGCACUAGAGUCAAUAAUMUAGUUCACAUCACCAUGUGAUUCAAACGAAUCCAANNNNNNNNNNNNNNNNNNNNNNNNNNNNNNNNNNNNNNNNNNNNNNNNNNNNNNNNNNNNNNNNNNNNNNNNNNNNNNNNNNNNNNNNNNNNNNNNNNNNCCGGUAACNCGWAAACCUUCCGGUAACCAAAUGAGGUCAUCCUAUAUAUCAAUCUUCGUUUCCGGACCAUUCCGGAAACCCUCGUGACGUCCGUGAUCUCAUCCGGGACUCCGAACAACAUUAGGUAACCAACCAUAUAACUCAAAUACGCAUAAAACAAUGUCGAACCUUAAGUGUGCAGACCCUGCGGGUUCGAGAACUAUGUAGACAUGACCUGAGAGACUCCUCGGUCAAUAUCCAAUAGCGGGACCUGGAUGACCAUAUUGGAUCCUACAUAUUCUACGAAGAUCUUAUCGUUUGAACCUCAGUGCCAAGGAUUCGUAUAAUCCCGUAUGUCAUUCCCUUUGUCCUUCGGUAGUGUUACUUGCCCGACGAUUCGAUCGUCAGUAUCCGCAUACCUAUUCAAUCUCGUUACCGGCAAGUCUCUUUACUCGUUCCGUAAUACAAGAUCCCGCAACUUACACUAAGUUACAUUGCUUGCAAGGCUUGUGUGAGAUGUUGUAUUACCGAGUGGGCCCCGAGUUACCUCUCCGUNNNNNNNNNNNNNNNNNNNNNNNNNNNNNNNNNNNNNNNNNNNNNNNNNNNNNNNNNNNNNNNNNNNNNNNNNNNNNNNNNNNNNNNNNNNNNNNNNNNNCACACAAGUAUUGUGUUUCCAAUCAAUACAAUUAUAGCAUGGAUAAUAAACGAUUAUCAUGAACUAAGAAGUAUAAUAAUAACUAAUUUAUUAUUGCCUCUAGGGCAUAUUUCCAACAGAGUCAUCAAAGACAAUAGAACAACAAGCCAUCAUGGAUGAUACAGAAAACAUACAUAUUAAUGAGGUCAUUAUUAUAUUUUCACAUGUCAUUAUUAUUNAGUUCAUUUGUGCUAUGAUAUCAAAUAUAAAACUGUUUACUCACCUUCAUAAUAUUCUCUCUUUUAUAUGGACUAUUCAUUUCUAAACAAAGCAUGGACGAGGAACUAAUACUAAUAUAUGCUUUGGUUUUCAGGAAAACAUGGACGAGGAAGGCAAGGACAAGCAUGCGGAAAAUAUGUUUAUUGAAGACAUGAUAACGAAAGACGAGGAUGUGAACCCCGAGUCAUCAAAGACAAUAGAACAACAAGCCAUCAUGGAUGAUACAGAAAACAUACAUAUUAAUGAGGUCAUUAUUAUAUUUUCACAUGUCAUUAUUAUUAUGAUUCUGACGGGACAAAACACAACGUCCAUUUGUGCUAUGAUAUCAAAUAUAAAACUGUUUACUCACCUUCAUAAUAUUCUCUCUUUUAUAUGGACUACAUACUGUAUAAUAUUAUAUUAUUGUGUCUUUCAGUUACUAAUCAAGGAAGAAUCAAGUGGAAUAAAUGACAAAGAUGAAGUAGAGAAAAAGUAUAGCACGCAGGCCACUGAUUGCGAAGUGACACGGGCAUGCUUUCUUUUCAAAGUAUCCCAAAUAGUUAUAAUCUAAUUAAAUUAUAUUCUGCAUAGGGAUUACUCUUUGUAAUGUUGCUCUCAGGAAUUAACAAGGCAGGGAACAAGUGAACAAAUGCAGCCUACUCAAGACAUUGAAUUAGCACAAAUGUUCGACAAUGAAGGGGGGGGGGACUAUAGGGGACAACUUGGCAGAUUCAAAUGUACGAGCCGACAAAGAUGAAGAGGAGAAAAAGAAGAGCACACAGUCCACUCAUUCCGAGGUGGCAAAGUCAUCUUUGCUUUUUCAACUAUGUCCUAAAUAAAUAGUUCUAAUGCGAAAGUCAACUUUUCUGAGGAAAUAACCUUCAAGGAAACAAGUGAACAAAUGCAUCAAGUUCAGGACGAGGAAUUAAAACAGACAUCGGGCACCGAAGGGGCAGAAACUAUAGGGGAUAAUCUGGCAGAUUCAAAUGGAAUAGCCGGCAAAGACGAAUUGGAGGAAAAUAAGAGCACGCAGUCCACUGAUUUUGGACUCUCCGAAGUGAGAGAGGUAUCUUUUCAAUUCCAACUAUGUCCCAAACAGUUCUAAUUCUAAUUCUAUUAUAUCUUGCAUACAGAUUAUUCUUUAAUAUGUUGCUCUCAGGAAUUAACAGAAAACGAAACAAGUAAACCAAUGGAGGCAUGUGGGGACGAAGAAUUAGAACAAACGUCCGGCAGGGAACGGGCAGAAAUUAUAGGGGACAAGCUGCCAAUGCCCGCGCAAACAUGGAAGCCUAUUUGAGUGCAUAACAAACCUAAGAAGGCACAAAACUACGUGGUGGCUCCAGAAGGCACGGACAAAUCUUUCUAUGCCCUGGUUUUGCUACAUUUGUUUUCCUCGUUAUUAAUAAAUGUUAUUACUUCCAUCAUGAUAGAUUACGCCUGCACCGGCGAUGAUUGGUCCAUGAUUGAAAAUAUCAUGUCUGAACCAAAUGAUAAAAGAACUUUAGUGAGCAUUGACGACUCAAAUCUCCAAAGAAGACAGUUGGAACGUCUUUUAUUACCCGGAGAAUUUCUUGGCGACGAAGUAAGUAUAUGUAGCUUUAUGACGAGACGAUGCUAUUUGAACGUGAGUUACUAUUUUGUCCUAUAACCAAGGUGUGCACUUCGUAUUACAGAUCAUAGACGCAUACAUACAUUGCAUAAGUGCUAAAGAGCAUCUAAAGAUGAGGACAGGUGGAAGUGUGUUCUUAGAGAAUGCAUGCAUCUCUAAGCUGAUAAAGGAAUUUAAGUUUAUACGGGAUGACACACUAAGAUGGGUGUUAGACAGAGCUACAACUUAUUUGGAACAUGAUAUGGUGAGUCUCAGUUCUUUACAUAUUACUAUGAAUUCAAUCAUGGAUGAAUGUUUCUACAGAUGGGACCUAACCUAACAAAAACUCUAUUUACAGAUAUAUGUUCCAGUAAACAUUAAAGACUUUCAUUGGUACCUAGCAGUUAUAAAUAGCGGGGUGCGACGUAUCCAGGUGCUCGACUCGCUAGGUCCAGGAAUGAACCGCAAAGACCUCACUGCUAUGGUUAGUUAUUAGUCUCAGUGCACCAUCUUUUGAUAAGACGAUUUCUGUUAUUCUUCGGUUGGGAUGCUAAUACGUUGUCAUUUAUUCAUGCAACAGCUCAAAGGACUGGAAAAUGUAUUCCAAUAUGCAUCACUUCAAAUUCAACUAAAAUUUGAUAAGUGGAAAGACGUAAAGAUUACAGCAUGGCCAAGGGAAGAAUGUAUUAAGAGGAGUCUGCAGACAGAUGGGUAUACCUCUUUCGAAUCAAACUUGUUGCUCCCAUCCCCUUUGGGCACCUCCUUCUCCUUCACGUUAUCUGAACCAUUAAUAUUAAUACAUAUGUUGUAAGAAUGUCAUCCUUUUUCGUCUCAGGUUCUAGAAUAACUACAAUUAGUACAGGUGAGAAUUAUAUGUUUACAUAUAUGCGGAAUAUCUUAAACUCUAUUUCUAAAUACAGCAUAUAAAAAGACAGUUUUGGAGAAUAUCUUAAACUCUAUUUCUAUAAAUUCAUUUGUAUAUAAAACACUUAAAAAAUUGAUAAAACAAUAAUGGAUAUAUUUAAUUUCUAUAAUCAUAUAUAGGUCAUCUUGUGGUCUCUGGAUGAUAAAUUUUAUGGAGUACUUCACUAGAAAUGAUUUGUCUGACACUCCUACGCAGGUAAAUUUUAUCCUAAUACUUAUUCUAUGUUGUAUCAUUACUUAACUCUUAUUUCUAUUUUAAUAGGACCAUAUGACAGAUUUUAGAACAAAACUAGCUGUCAUUUUAGUGGACUCGGAAUUGAAUGAUGAUAAUAUAAGAAAUCGAGACAUGGAAGAUGACGAAAACAAUAUAGAUCCCACGGAUUGUAUGAUUCUGGAUGGACCCCCUCAAAAUCUCAAAACAUCGAAUACAUCAUCAGAUGUUGAGCUCAUCUCACAGUCAUAUAUCCUUUCACCGUCUGUCAACCCAAAAAACGAUGACUUAAUAGACGAACUAUGCUUGUUCAUCAGUAUGGUUGAUGAUGACGCUUUACUAGAGUAAGCCAUGUUCUUUUAGUUCAUUUUGUAUUCUAAUAAAUUACUCUGAUGUCAUUAUAAUUGACAAAAUUUUGAUUUUACAGGAGCGAAUGGGUGAAAAGCUCUGAUCCUUACCCUAUCAGCUUAAAGUUGAGACAAAUAAAAAACAUACUAAACAAUGAUGAAUAUAUGGAUAUUGAUUGCUUUAACAUGGCUGUGCGGAUACUAGCGCGCCACGAAGUCCAACUUCUCACAGACAUUCCAUCUCACUACAUGGAUCUAAACUUUUGUGUAAGUUACUAUAAUUGCAUUUUACAUUUUUUUUCCUCAUAGAACUAUUGUUUUCUUAUUUUUAUUUUAGUCCAUGUUCCACUAUGCACGAGACCCAAGUCAUCAUGAAAAUAUGGGCAGCGCUACGAUUAAACUAUUGUUUCAUAGCUGGCUUGACAACAAUGAGUAUCAUAUCUCACAGUGUGAUAUGGUAAGAUUUUAAUUUUUCAUUUCUAACAGUGGUUUAUUUGGUUUAAAUUAAUAUUUAAUGUAUUUAUAAAUGUAUGCAUCAUUGCAGAUUUUAUUGCCUUGGGAUAUUUUUGGACUGUUUCUAUUGUUUGUCUUGGAUCAAGAUAAAAAAGUUAUCUCAAUUUUUGAUCCGAUACCAAUACCUACUUUGGGAAAGAAUAUACUUAAAACCGUGGUCAGUAACCUAAACCUCGCACUUCAAGUUGCAAACCCUGCAUUCAAGGACGAUAUCUCCAAAUGGGAAUGUAUAGUUCCGGUUGUUCCAACAAACUCACACUGGUAUGAAUCUUUUUAAUGCCUUAUAAUAUUAAAUAAUUCAUUCAUUCAACGCACAUUAUGUGUUUAUUUCAUACAUGCAGUGCCUUGUCGGGGUAUUUGGUUUUUAACUACAUGCACUCAUUGUGCGAUGGAAAGCUAUAUUUUCUUGUACCCCACGUGAGUAUUUACACCAUGCUUAUUUGUAUACACAUUGCACAUACAAACUUGUUAUAACAAUGUUGUCUAAUGCAUAUGUAGGACUGUUUUGAACUGAGGAAGCGAAUUUUGGUGCAUAUUUUAAAGUAUGAAGAAAAUGAAUCUCAAAAAAAUAUCCCAUACAUUGAAGGAAGCAUCAUAGAUCGCAUCUAUAGAUGGACUUUCAUUGCUUCAAAAGAUGGACCAUCAAGACGUGCUUAGUCCUGGUUUUUAAAACAUAUUUCUGUAACAAUUAUCGUGUGGUCGUUAAUUUUGUACGAAGACAUGUUUCCGGAUCGUAUGUUACGCACGUUCUCAUAUUGUUUUAAAUAAAAGUCAUAUUGUUUUAUAUAAGACACCGAUAAAUUGCUCGAUAAAAAAACUCAAAUAUGUUUUACUAUAGAUUAUUAUAGGUGUGUUGGAUCACAAAUAUGUCACAAUUUUGAAAAUACAAUUUGAGUGACAUAAUAACAUUUUGUACCCGUCUGAAAAAAAUCAGAAAUUAUUUUAAGGAUCAUCUUCUAUAACUCAACAGUAAUUAGUACUAAGUUAAUGAAGGAUUUAUUAAUUUGAUUUGGGUCAAUCAACAGUAAUUAGUACUAAGUUGUAAGCAGGUAAACUUACCUAGCGUUGACAGCAGGACCGUGAGAGCGGCAACGCCGACGAUCUUUUGUACAUGCCGGUGACCACCAUGUCCUUUAUGGUGAUGUAGCCGGUGCUGAACCACACCACAACCUGGGCGGAGAGAGAGAACAAAGAUCAACUACUGGCCUGAACCCAUAAAUAAAAGAAAAACCAAAUAGAAUUCAAAAGUUAAGUAUGUUUGCUACUGGAGUUGACUACUAUAUAGUGCCAAAACAAACAACUAAUGAGACAACACUCCACACCACCAACUUACCAGUUAGGACCAAGUGGCACUACAAUCUCCAUACAUCCAUCAAUCGAUAUUCUCGCCCUCCACAAGAUAAAACUUAGC